This 448-nucleotide ribosomal RNA is filed under the name uncultured bacterium. RNAcentral describes it as "SSU rRNA". It matches the Rfam family "Bacterial small subunit ribosomal RNA", at positions 26 to 518 of the family's 1533-position model. The record is from RNAcentral.
AGGGCGAACGCUGGCGGCAGGCUUAACACAUGCAAGUCGAGCGGGCGUAGCAAUACGUCAGCGGCAGACGGGUGAGUAACGCGUGGGAACGUACCUUUUGGUUCGGAACAACACAGGGAAACUUGUGCUAAAUACCGGAUAAGCCCUUACGGGGAAAGAUUUAUCGCCAAAAGAUCGGCCCGCGUCUGAUUAGCUAGUUGGUGAGGUAACGGCUCACCAAGGCGACGAUCAGUAGCUGGUCUGAGAGGAUGAUCAGCCACAUUGGGACUGAGACACGGCCCAAACUCCUACGGGAGGCAGCAGUGGGGAAUAUUGGACAAUGGGCGCAAGCCUGAUCCAGCCAUGCCGCGUGAGUGAUGAAGGCCCUAGGGUUGUAAAGCUCUUUGUGCGGGAAGAUAAUGACGGUACCGCAAGAAUAAGCCCCGGCUAACUUCGUGCCAGCAGCCGC